This 497-nucleotide ribosomal RNA is filed under the name uncultured bacterium. RNAcentral's name for it is "partial 16S ribosomal RNA". It matches the Rfam family "Bacterial small subunit ribosomal RNA", at positions 28 to 507 of the family's 1533-position model. The record is from RNAcentral.
GACGAACGCUGGCGGCGUGCCUAAUACAUGCAAGUUGAGCGAUGAAGAUUGGUGCUUGCACCAAUUUGAAGAGCAGCGAACGGGUGAGUAACGCGUGGGGAAUCUGCCUUUGAGCGGGGGACAACAUUUGGAAACGAAUGCUAAUACCGCAUAACAACUUUAAACAUAAGUUUUAAGUUUGAAAGAUGCAAUUGCAUCACUCAAAGAUGAUCCCGCGUUGUAUUAGCUAGUUGGUGAGGUAAAGGCUCACCAAGGCGAUGAUACAUAGCCGACCUGAGAGGGUGAUCGGCCACAUUGGGACUGAGACACGGCCCAAACUCCUACGGGAGGCAGCAGUAGGGAAUCUUCGGCAAUGGACGAAAGUCUGACCGAGCAACGCCGCGGGAGUGAAGAAGGGUUUCGGAUCGUAAAACUCUGUUGGUAGAGAAGAACGUUGGUGAGAGUGGAAAGCUCAUCAAGUGACGGUAACUACACAGAAAGGGACGGCUAACUACGUG